AGCGAGCAUGCGCCCGACGACUCCAAACCAGCAACUGUUGCUCGUAAGCGCUCCUGCCGGUUCUCGGACCGCCGGCUCAGCGAUCUCUUCCUUCUAAACCAGGCUGCCCCUCAUCUAUUUCCAUUAGAUGUUUGAUGCCCGAGCCCAUCCCGGGAGCGGACCGGUUCGGCUCACAGCUGCCCCCGAGCGCCCGGCGCCAUCCAAAUUGCUCUCCGCCGCGGCGGACCAGCAGACGUCCCCUUCCCCCCCCAGCCCCGCGCCGUCCCCCGGCCGUUUCAAAGCGCUCUCAGCAGCAGCGGAACCCGAGCGGCUCGGAGAUCGGCGGUCGCGGUACGGGCGUGAAGCGGCCCCGGCACCGCAGCAUCCCAGGACCCGCCGGGCUCGGCACCGCGCUGCGCAUGCAGCACCGCGCACACAGCGUUUUGCAUGCGCGUUUUCGGCAGAAAGACCUCAGCUGGAGCCUGGGACUGCAACACGGAGGGUGCUCAAGAAACAAAAGAAGGGAGUUAUUCUUCACUGAGUGAGGGCUACAACAGCACAGACUCUGAGAAUGAAUCCAACGCAUCCCAGAGGAGGAAGGAGUUAUCACCAGGCCAGGCUGUGUCCCCAGUGCAGGCUGUAUUGCGGCUGCUCGGAGGAGACGUCACCUCGCCAGGACCCGAGCUGAUUAUCUUCCCUUGGAUGCUUCAAAUGAUCGUCAGCUUUCUCAGAGAAGAGAAGGCUGUGAUUCAGAGGAUGAGGACGAGCCUGAUAGGAAUCAUCUCCAUUUUGUUCCUAAAAAGAGAACUCUUAGUCGUAGGCUGGCUGAACGCGUGGGUGAGUUGGUGCCUUUUCUCCCAGAGAGAGGCUGUGUCUUUCUUUUACUGAUGGAUGUCCGGAAGAAUGUGAGACUUGCCCAGUGAAGAGUGCAGUGCAAAGUUGUGCUCUUGGUCUUGACAAAAGAGCAUAAUGCUUGGUGGUCCUUGAGGUUUACAUGGGCUGUUCCUGCUCUCCACACACUCCCAUUACGACUGUUAUGGGAAAGGGGUAAAAACAAACCAACAAACAAAAAGCAACCAACCAGAGCCAGCCAGCCCUUUGGAAGUAAGCAGACUUACUGCAUGCCAAGCGUAUGUGGCUUUUCGGUUGCUCCUUAACUUCACAUCCAGUAUAACUGGUGUUCUUAGGUCCUCAUACUCCGUUUGUUUCUGGAAACCCCUCUUUUUGCUGUCCAGAAGAUUGCAGAAGUUUUUAGCAGCAGACCUUGGUCAUGGACUUGAUUACUUCAAGUCACUGUGUUUGGGUUAGAUUCUGCCCUACAGUCUCCUGCUGUUUUAGAACGCAGAAUGUCAUUUAAUUUCUAUGUUGAUGUGGUUGGAGUCUUUAAGUUAUAAUUACAGUCAAGCCAAGUUGUCAGAAUGAAACUUCUAUCUUCAUCUUCAUUGUUUGGCUGUAGCUUAUUUCUACUUUUCAAAUUAAAGACUGUACUGCUUGUUAGGUUUCAGCUGUUGAUAUUGAACUGCUAUAUAUUGUGGGAAGCCAUUAAUGUCUUCAGACUGAGAGGAGGGCUGCUUUACCCUAAAUUACAGAUUGCUUUGUACUGAUGGAUGUGAAUGGUGUAUGCAUUUUACACCAUAAGUACACAGCUUUUUGUAUAUACGCUUUCCCUUUUGUGUUGUACAGAAAUUGCCCAAUCUGAUCAUUCCAAUGUACAUCUUUUUGUCAUAUGCUUUAUGCAUUUGCACGGUAUGUUUUGUUGACCUCUAAAGCUGCAGAGGCAAAACUUACAUCAGUUGUGUACAAACUUAUAUUUAAUUUGCAUAAACUAUGUGUUGAAAGUGUUGCAAUUCUCUUAGGAAACUUAUAGCAAUGCUUCCCUGUGUAAAUCUCAACCAGCU
Molecule: long non-coding RNA, 1877 nt
Organism: Gallus gallus (chicken)
Lineage: Eukaryota; Metazoa; Chordata; Aves; Galliformes; Phasianidae
Exons: 3
Source: RefSeq, a predicted model, not a curated record